GUGUGUCAGAGGAAUGAUUCAACCUCAGGUCUCCCUGACUUCUCAAACCUAGAUCCUUUGGACUCCAAGACCUGCUCUCUAUUUCCUUUGUCAUGUUGCAUCUCAUGUGUGACAGACCUUUCCUCCUGGCCUUUUAAGUCGUCAUUGGUGUCUGUGUGCUGGGAAGUCUGGAAACUGCCACUGCUGUUAGUGAUUCGUCACCUGGAAGUCUGCUCCUAAUUUGUUGAGGCAAGUCUCCUAUUGAAGCUCAGGGUCCACUUACCUUAAAUUGCCCACUUUUUGGAUGAAGGACUUUUGAAGUUGGCUGAAACAAAUCCUGAAGAUAACUUAGCCACCUGUUAACAAGUACAAAUGGUUUUACAGUUGGGGAAACUGAAGCUCAGGAAUUUUAAGUGAGUUUGCUACUGCCAUAUUGCUGGCGUCAGAAUUCA
This is a non-coding RNA of Phascolarctos cinereus (koala), 431 nucleotides long. The record is from RefSeq and is a predicted model, not a curated record. Lineage: Eukaryota; Metazoa; Chordata; Mammalia; Diprotodontia; Phascolarctidae.